CCUACGGGUGACAGCAGUGAGGAAUAUUGGUCAAUGGGCGCGAGCCUGAACCAGCCAAGUAGCGUGAAGGAUGACUGCCCUACGGGUUGUAAACUUCUUUUAUAAAGGAAUAAAGUGAGGCACGUGUGCCGUUUUGUAUGUACGUUAUGAAUAAGGAUCGGCUAACUCCGUGCCAGCAGCCGCGGUAAUACGGAGGAUCCGAGCGUUAUCCGGAUUUAUUGGGUUGAAAGGGAGCGUAGAGGGGUUGUUAAGUCAGUUGUGAAAGUUUGCGGCUCACCCGGAAAAUUGCAUUUGAUACUGGCAGCCUUGAGUCCAGUUGAGGUAGGCGGCAUUCGUGUUGUAGCGG
This 346-nucleotide ribosomal RNA is filed under the name uncultured bacterium. RNAcentral describes it as "partial 16S ribosomal RNA". It matches the Rfam family "Bacterial small subunit ribosomal RNA", at positions 338 to 681 of the family's 1533-position model. The record is from RNAcentral.